Molecule: long non-coding RNA, 939 nt
Organism: Carassius gibelio (silver crucian carp)
Lineage: Eukaryota; Metazoa; Chordata; Actinopteri; Cypriniformes; Cyprinidae
Exons: 3
Source: RefSeq, a predicted model, not a curated record
UCCAGGACCAGGAUUGGGAGCCACUGCCUUAUGGGACACUUAUGUGUUUAAAGAGAUUUUUAAUAACUAAUUAUCAAUAUUUCACAUACUGUACAUUGGACAGCUUUCCAUGACCUCUUGUGAGAUCUCGGCAAAAAGUCUGACGAUUUAUUCCAAAACAUGAUGCAUGAUGGGAUACACUAAGCUUUGUAUAGCGCUCCAGAGCAGUAUUGGAGAGGUUUAGUGUGUGUUAAGGACGCUGUGCUUUGGCAUUAUUAAGACCGGGGACAGUCUUGUGCACACACUGUCACGUACACACACUCUCAAGUGGCCAAGACUGCAAGUGUGGGUAUCUGGACAGGGUCAAAGUCUUAAAAAUGAUCCCUAAACACAUCACAGUCUUAAUAAUCCAGUUUAACACUUGUAUGAUAUUGUACAAGCCCCAGGACGGUCUCAUCUGACACUAUCAAAGAAUUCAUAUGACUAUAGCUUGUUAUUAAUUACUUGCUUUCAAUAAUGGAUGCAUUUAACAUUUAAUUAUACAGCAUCUUUACAGAGGUGUAAUGUACAAGUUGCACGUAAUUAAUAAUAUGUCCUUCCUUCUGUCUUACAGGAUUUUUUCCAGAUAAUGCUGUUCUUCUUUUUCAGGUCUAAAAUAUCGAGCUCAACAGCUAUUUUAAGAGCCAACCCUCACAAACCUUCCUAAAACCUAAAAGAGCUAUUACUGAGUCUCAGCGAAUCUUGCCAUGAUCAGCUCUUCCCAGAAGAGAAGGAAGACCAAGGAAAUGAUUUGCUCAGGAUGAGGAAUGAAGAUGGUCAUCUUGUGCUCAAACAAACAGAAGUCCUCUGAUGAUCUCAUCAGCCAAAUGAGGGGUUUUGACCAAGUGAUGCUCUUGAAAGGAGUGAAAGAAGAGGAUGUGGUAAAUUGUCUUCAGAGAAAAGCUUCUCAAAAGAUCUUAA